RNAcentral lists this long non-coding RNA (596 nucleotides) under Brachypodium distachyon (stiff brome). Its description in RNAcentral is "long non-coding RNA (BDIS_LNC004872)". Lineage: Eukaryota; Viridiplantae; Streptophyta; Magnoliopsida; Poales; Poaceae. The record is from RNAcentral.
CUGGCCGAGGAGGGAAAUCGGGUGCGGGAUGUCGACGGACGACAUUCGGGGCGCCUCUUUUGGAAACUGCGAUUAUGAGAGGAAACUUCAAAUUAAUUGCCUGAAUCGGUUCCUGAGAUGGUGAGGAUUGAUGGGGUGGUUUCCUUUCGAAGAGAUACGCGCCGGAAGGAAAGAAAUCGAAUAAAGAAAAUAUGGAAGGAGGAGUUUCCUUUACGUGCAGAGGAGGAAGAACAGGAGCUGGUGCUCGUGCUCGCUGGCUGGGCUGAGGCGCUCGGUGGAGAUGGGCCGGCCCAGUUUGCGUCGGUCCAUUCUCUUUUUUUUUCUUUUUUUUUCUAUUUCUGUUUUUAUUAAUAACUCUUGAUUCCUAACUUCAAAUAAGUUCAAAUAAACUCCAGUAAAUUUGUAAAUUCAAAUCUUCCAAAGUGUGAACUUUUGGGACUUGAAUCCUUUCAAAAUAAAAUAAGUAAAAAAUACUUUUGCUUAUAUAAAUGUCAUUAGGGCUUUAUAAGUAAUACAUAAAAUAGGUUUUGAAAUCUAUUAUGAAACCUUUGUUUCAUAAAUUAGUUUAAACUCCAAUAAACAUAUUGGGUUGGCAU